Molecule: transfer RNA, 74 nt
Filed under: bacterium
Lineage: Bacteria
Description: tRNA-Glu
Rfam family: tRNA
About the family: Transfer RNA (tRNA) molecules are approximately 80 nucleotides in length.
Source: RNAcentral
GCCCCGUUCGUCUAGUGGCCCAGGACAUCACCCUCUCACGGUGGAGAUCAGGGGUUCGAAUCCCCUACGGGGUA